GUAAGGCCCAAAUUCUACCCGGGCCCAACAACCAAAAAAUCAAAAUUAAAAACAAAUAAAUAAAACCAUCACAGUCCAUUAAAUGUUCAAAAUUCAAUUACAUGACCCAAAUUUAAAGCCUAAAACCUAAUACAACCCAAUAGCCCAAAAUCCUAAUAGCACGUUUGGUUCGCUGUAUUGGAUUAGAGGUGUAAUAGCAAAUCAACUGUUUGGUUGAAUGUAAUGGAAUAGAGGCGUAAUAGUAAAACUGUGUUUGGUUGAAUGUAAUAGAGGUGUAAUAGCAUAAUGGAGAAAACUAAAAUGACCAGAAUACCCUUAGCAUAAAUUUGUUUUGGUAAAUGAUUAUUGUUAUUGUUAUUUAAAUUUUAAUAAGAUUAUUUAUUAUCAAAAAUAAAUAAUUUAAUCAUAUUUAAACAUAAUUAUUAUUUAAUAUAUUUUAAUUAAAAUAUAUAAUUUAAUAAAAUGGUUAAUAAUUAGCAGAAAUUUGUUUUGGUAAAUUAUUUUAUUUAAAUUUUAAUAAGAUUAAUAUCAAUAAUAAAUAAUUUAAUCAUAUUUAAACAUAAUUAUUAUUAAAUAUAUUUUAAUUAAAAUAUAUAAUUUAAUAAAAUUCUUAAUAAUUAAUAUUCUUAUAUGAAUUUACUCAAACCAUAAUAUAUGAUACUGUAAAAUAUAAAUUAACAUAAUUAUUAUUAAAUAUAUUAUAACUAUAUUUGCUGCAACAUCAUAGAAAUUCAAUACCGUAAAUCACUCCAAUUUUCCUAUUUAAACUCUAUAACUAUAUUUGCUGCAACAUCAUAGAAAUUCAAUGGAAGCAAACUAGACUAAAAGCAGAUAAUAGCCAAAUGUUUCCAUUUUUUCUUUUUCAUGUUUUUAAGAUGCAGGCAUACAUUGAAAGCAGAUAUGCACACUUCAGGCACAGUAUUCAUCAUACAAUUUGAAGAAAAACACUGCUACAAACAACGGCUUUUAGAUAAACUUUACAAAGGUAAACACAUCAUUAGCACAAAUUCAUAGCGGCCACCUGUUGGAGAGAUCUUGGCUGAUGAUCCGAUGACCCAGAACCAAGCUAUGACUGAUCCUGAUGCCAGACCAACUACUAGAAAUAACACCAUAACGAUGCCAGAAGUCUCUGCGUGUUGUAUCUGGACAGAUUUGGGAGCCAUGAUCAUUAACACACUUGUCAAGUAGCCAUUAGUUAGACCUAGAUUUGCCAUUUCAAACUAAAACAAAAUCCCAUGAUUUGCCACAAGUUAAAGACCAAGUCUCUCAAUAAGUGCCACUUCAAGAUCUCAUUUUCUUUUGACAUAACUCUUAAAAUUCAUUUUUACUAUGCUUUUCCCUUCAAAACAAACUUUAACAUGUUUCUGCAUUCCUAUUUGUUUAAAAGAAAGAUCCAUGCAAUUUCCUUAUUAAAAAUAAUUCAGCUUCGCAAAACACUGGUUCUCAUGCAAUUGAUCAAAAACAUGAUUUACAGUGACCUGCAAUAGGUCAAUCCAAAAUGCAUUUAAGGUUAGCAACCUGCCUGCAGCAGCAAAUGACCAUUUACAUGCAAAACUAUGGCAUAUCAGAGUAGAUAUUCAAUGGCAAGAAAAUGAAAAGUUUCUAACAAUAACCAGUACGAGAACACACCCUAAAACCAUCGGUGUGAGUAUAUAUAAAUAACAUUAGAAAGCAGCAAAUACAGGAACCAUCACAAGUGGAUGUGCAUUGUGCAUAGUGCAGAGACUGGAAACAAUGACUAACAGUCUAAAACAAUCAACUACAAUGUUGUCUGUUGUAUUGAGACAGUAUUGGAGUUAUCCAACAUAAGACUCGAUUAUUGCGAAGUAAAAUCUUACAAACUGCUUAAAGAACCAAUUUUAUGAAGAAAUACGGGAUUAUGAACCCAAAGUACAUCAAAGAUUUGAUAUGUGCCCUCAACUAUACAAAAUUUAACAAUUAAGUGCCCACAAUAGACAUGGAUACUUCCUCGAGCUCUUUUAAGUAAGGAACAACGUAUUUCUCUCUGAACUUCUUGUCAGGCAUCUUAUAAAUUGUAGUCAUGCUAACUUUCCUUCUUAGCGAAUUCUUACUUUCCAGAGUCUCAAUAACCAGUAACCGAGGCUUCAGCCUACGCUCAAGGCUGCAAAUAAGCACCAUUGGGUGGCUUAUUAUAAAUGAAAUACCUACAUUCGUUCUAUUAAGCAAAAAGUCAGUGACUUGCUUAAUCUUCCUUUCAGAUACAGCAAACACCUGUGGUGUCCUCCUAAAAGUAGACAUGAUAUCAUCUUCAGAGAAACCCAAUUUCCUAAAAAGCUUCAAUUUGAGUUCUCAAUUCUCUUCACUCAUUGAACUCAACACCCUAAUAGCAGCAAGAAACAUAUUUGACUUCCUAUCGAACCCCAAGGCAUCCGCCCUUUCAACAAACUGCUUAAUGCUCUCAGGUUUAAGCAAGAAAAAUCUAGGAAAGCUGAACACAUAUGAAACAAUUUGCGAUGAACAAAUCCCGCAAUUUCUCAAGAACUCUAUAUUAGGCAUCAUAGUCUUUUGCAAAUCAGAUUUGAGAAACCAAGCAGAAGUUUUCAAUAACUUAACAACAUCAUCAUUCGAUCCUAAAACAGUCUUUAAAUCGGAAAUAGAAGGUGCAAUCCUAUCAUCCACGCUUCUAGUCAAAAUCCAGGGAUCACUAGCUACAAUAUCAGCAACAUCAUGUGUUGAAAAUCCUAAAUCCUAGAAAAUCUUGAACUUGGGUUUAAUGGUUUUCUCAAGACUAGAAUAUAGAAGGUUAGGCUUUCUUUUGACCACUGCUUCAAUAUGGGAUUUAGAGAAACCGCUUUCUUUCAAGAAGGAAAUUAUAGUAUCACACUUACGAGGAUCCUUCACAUAGGUUAGGGAAGAUGCAGUCAUGACGGCAAGUUCAGGGGAAAAGCUGUGUUUCUCAACCAAAAAUGGAGUUAGACCUGGGUCAACUCUGGAGUUAGCCGAGGCCCUUGUUGGUACCGGAAACCGGAGGUCACAGACCAGAACAAUACUAAACAGCUAAAUUUCUGAGCCUUCAAAUAAUGAAGAACAAGUUCCUUAGAAAUAGACCAAUGACUCCUUUAAGAACCAAUCUAAUAAACUUCACCAACUUUCAAGAAUUCAUGGAUCAACAAAAUUAAAUUAACAUCCAUAUCUACAGUUAGUCAAAAAGUUGGUCGUUAAAUUACCAGAACCGCCGGAUCCCGCAACGAUAGCCUGCAUGUAGCGUUCAGGCAAUUCCCCAGCCACUCAAAUGAGCCCACCUUGAAUAAGUGCAUCGCCUAUACCCGCCAGAGCGAGAAGACCGACCGUGACGUAGAAUUUGUCAUACAAUCCGACCUGACCCUUAAUAUAAACCGCAUCCAUAACAGGCACGACGAGCAGGGAAACCACGAAAAUGCCCAAACCAACAUUGAUCCGCAUGUAAGCUUUACUCUUGUGAGCAUAAAAUACAAUGACCAAGAGGCAAGCGAGGCCGACGACCAUGUAAACGACGGCGAAAACACGGUGGACGGAAGCUUCCGGGUAGAGGUAGGAAAAGUAAUCGACGGCAGUGAUGAAGCUAUUCCAUGGGAGGAGAAAGCCAACGCCCAAAGUGAAGUAGAUGAUGUAGCCCAAAUUGAAUUUAUCUUCUGGUUAUAGGAAUGUGCGGAGGAGGAGGGCAGAUUCAGAGUCGGGUUUUGGGCCUCCGCCGAUUGCGGAUGCAUCGGGGAAACCCAUUUCUGUUUUUGUUUGGUUUUGUUUUGUUUUUUUCCACCAAAAUACAACUGGGAGGAGAAAUUAUGAGGAUAGAAGAGGAGAGGGUCGGGUAGGGAGGGAGGGUAAAACAGAGAGUUGGGGAGGGAAGCCAGACGUAAUACCUAUUACUCGAUUUGGGAAGGGAUUAGAAAAGCAGGGAAUUUGGGGAUUAGGUCGGGAUUGUAUUACGCCCGUAAUACCUAUUACAGCGAACCAAACGCCGGAUUAGGGGCGUAAUGUAAUAGGCGCGUAAUCGGUCAGUAAUGGAUUACCUAAUACAUUGAACCAAACACAGCGUAAAUGAUUUAACCUAAUACCCUAAACGGCCCAAAGGUUAAGCCCGAUUUUGGCAAACCCUAGGGCAGAGGGGUCAUCGCGCCGCAACCAGCAACCCCAGCAGCUCCAGGCCUCCGUACGCCCCAGCCUCCUGGCGCCACGCCCACGCCCCGCGCCAGCACAGCUUCCGUACGACCAGCACCCAGCCCUCGUACACACGCCCUGUACCUGUAAAAACAUACAAACGUACAGCAAAUACAAACAAACAACAGCAAAAUAGCAAAGGGAAAGGAAUGAAAUUUGUAUUUCGAUUUUUAUUUUUCUUUUCGGUUUUCUCUCUUUUCUUGUCGGCUAUAAAGCCUUUGUUUCAAUUGUAAAGAGGGGUUCCCCUUUUUUUUUUACGAACGCCUACACGUUUUUACGAAAGAGAUACCAGCAAUACAAAAAGAAAACAACAUCGGAAGGUGAUUUUCCGAUCUAAAUCUCUGGGCUUUCUUUCUUUGCGAUUAUUCUCUUGUUUUUUUUAUUUUAUUUUACUUUGAAAGCAAAUGAAGUAGAGAGAAAAAGACUUACCAGCAGUUCGAGUGGCUUCGGAUUGGUGCAACGGUGGAGGCGUUGAGCGCCGAUGAACACUGCAAUCGGCCAUGACCGCUCCCCUCUCUCCCUCUUCUCCCUUUCGUCUGCCCAUUUUUUAGUCUGUUAAGGC
This 4720-nucleotide long non-coding RNA is filed under the name Gossypium barbadense (sea-island cotton). RNAcentral's name for it is "long non-coding RNA (GBAR_LNC007849)". The record is from RNAcentral. Lineage: Eukaryota; Viridiplantae; Streptophyta; Magnoliopsida; Malvales; Malvaceae.